GGGUUUGAGAUUGGAAAAGUUUUGAGAGCUUUAUUUUCAUCUCCAUCUCAGAUCUCCUAGGAGCAUCAAACAUAUUUUAUGAGUAAUGUUCUUCAUCGAAUAUUUCUAAAUCUAUCUUUGAAAUUGCUUGCUUAAAUUCAUUUUAUAUGCUCAUUUGUUUUGGCUAGGAGUUUUACAUUUUCAAAAGAGUUGAUUUUAGCUUUGAGCUACCACUUGUGUUCUUCAUUGAAACCCUAGUCACAAAACCAUAUUCAUGCAUCAAAUACCCAAUCACUACAUAUUAAGGUAGCAUUGUCUUCAUGGUUUUAUUUUAAUUUAGUGGCCAAGUUCUUCAAGUUUCAAAUCUUUAAACUGGCCCCAUAUUCGGAUUCUCAUCAAUUUCUUUUUUCAACUGUUUGACUGAAGAAACUGACUAGUCAUUGAAUCAUGUGCAUUUGUUGUGUGUUGGUCUCGAUGCCACAAGGUGAAGAGUUCAGGAGGAGCUGUCAUCUUGUGAAGAUUGGAAACAAUACAUUUUCGGUGAGUUUCAAAUCUUUAAACUGGCCCCAUAUUCGGAUUCUCAUCAAUUUCUUUUUUCAACUGUUUGACUGAAGAAACUGACUAGUCAUUGAAUCAUGUGCAUUUGUUGUGUGUUGGUCUCGAUGCCACAAGGUGAAGAGUUCAGGAGGAGCUGUCAUCUUGUGAAGAUUGGAAACAAUACAUUUUCGGUGCCACAAGGUGAAGAGCUUAUGAGGAGCUGCCAAGACCGAAAGAAUCCGUCUCAUGUAAGGCAAUGUGCACAAAGGUAAAGCUACUCCGUAGACUAGGUCUAGGAAUUGAGCUUUGUGUGGUACUUUGUAAGAAUCUUGUUUACACUAGUAUAUUAGACUCAGUGGAGAGUCCUCGGUUUUUUAACCCAGAUGUGAGCUUUUUUUGCCAAAAACUUAUUGCGUUCUUUGUCUCUUAAACUUAUCCACAUAUCUUAUUUACUUGCAUAUGCUUCAUGCAUCCUAUGAAUUGUUAGUUGAUAUUUGUUAGAGACUAAGUUUACACUGCAUAUUAUGAGCAACGAACUGAAUUGUUGUUGACUAGAAUGAAUAACUAGUAGUGAACUAAUUUUAAGUGGUAGAUUUGCGUUUGAUUAACUGACAAAUUUGUAUUUAGUUGCCUGGUGAACUUCACCAGUCAAUCCAGUAUACUUUAAUUCACAAUUGUUUUGUCAUUGUUGUUUGCAUAAUGAACUGAUAUGUAAAUGUGUUCAAGUUUAGGAAUUAUUGUUGUGAAACUAAUAUGGGCAGACUCUGAUUAGUUGAACAUAUUGGUCAGUUAAGUUUUGUUCUUCCAGUUGCACUUUUUAUCACUGACUAACUUGUAACUAGUUGGCUAGCUCAUUUGACUAGUUUACUGUACAAAGUUAAAUUUUUAUUUGUAUGAUAUUCCGUCUAGCUCAUCUGACUAGUUUUCACUUUCAAGAUUUUGUUUUGUUUCAACACUUCGAUGCGGUUUUAAAAUGUUGGUUAUGAAAGUCUCGUAAACCUACAUACUAUGAUGGGAGAUGCAGAAGGGGCCUAAGCCUAUCCUGACCCCUCAUGUGGCUCUGUCACUAUCAUAAGUUUAUAUUUCAGACAAAUAUACAAUUUUUUUUCCAAGAAAAAGGUAAAUAUACAAUUUAACUUUUUAGGGCUCAUUCAAAAUAAAAAGUCAAAAUUUAAAGUAAAAAACUACUUAAGGUUGUUUUCACUUUCAAGCUUUUGUUGUAUUCAUUAUUUGUUUAUAUUAUCAUCCUUCUUACUCCUACCUUUCCUCUAUAUACUUUCCUCACAUCUCAAAGUACUAAAAAUACGUAAAACAUAAAAUUAAAACAAAAUGAUUACCAAAGUACCUUUAAAUAUUUAUAUAUGCAAAAAAAUCGCAUACCACAAUACUAUAUACAUGGUCCAUAUAAGGGGUUUGUAUCAAUGCAGAAUAAAAUUAGGGAUAUCAUCAAAUAGCAUAUUGAAAGAGUUUCUUUUCACUCCUUGUGCAUGUAAUGGGGUUGCGCAUUAGGUGACGUCUUAUGUCAUGCGUGUGGGGGCUAUCAUAUGUGGGGUUGCUUUGAACCGAAGAGGUUGUUUAAUUUUCUGACUUUUGAUGUAAACAUUUCAAUUCGUAUCUAAUAAUAUUUAAUCUUCAAAUUUAGUGAUGCGCCAAUUCCAAUUUAGUUGAUGACAAAUUUAGGGUUGAAAGAUGGAUGUGUUUUCAAGCUUUGCAUAUUGGCAUUGUUGUCAAAUGAAAAUUCAAUGCUUGUCUGAAGAAUUGUCUUUUCGAGUAAGGAAUAUAUGAGCUCAUUUGGAAGUACUUUUAAAAUUAUUGAAAACACUUUUGGUGAAACUAUUUUCAAAACCAAUCAUUAGUAAAAAUUCAAGUGAAUCAUGAAAAAUCAUUUUAAGUGCUUUCUCCAAGAAGCAUAUAUUAGGUGCUUCUUCCAAAAAGACACUUAGUGUUUUUGGAACUCAAAUCAAUUUUAACAAAAACGCUUCCAAUCAUUUUAAAAGUACUUUCCAAACGAGCCCUAUAUCUCUUUCAACACUUUAUAUAUCAAUACAUGCUUUACAUAUGUUAAUUUAGGACCACUUCUCUAGAAAUGAGAUCUCUUAACAAAAUAAUAUUAUUUACAUAAACGAGAUCGAAAAUAUAUAUACACAAGCCCUAGAAAAUUUCUCUAGUUUGCACUUUUUGAAAGAUCUUUCAAUUUCAAACCAUCUUUAUGCAUGUUUGAUUGUGAAUGUACAUGAUUCUAAAAAUUUUAUUUAACAAAAAGCUUAAGCUCAAUGCAUAGGAUAUUCCAAUCGAAGACAAGCCGCCUACAAUACUUUAUUAUUGAUAGUCAUGUUUCAUUAAAAUCUUCGCAACCCUUCCUUUGCACCGCCAUUCAAAAGUAUAUAUGGAAUCUUGUUGCUUUAUCGACUGUGUAUUUCUAGCCAUCAUUUUACAGGUUCAAACUCUCAUUUUUUCACAAGCACUAAACUAAGAUGAGAGUUACUUCCAUUGUUUUAAAACUCAAGAUUUCAACCGCAUUUAGCCCAAUUGACCUUUUUAUUUUGGGAAUUUUAACGAAAAGCACCCGUUACUGUUCACUUUAACGAAAAGCCACAUUUUUACACUAAAAAGUCAAUCCUGAUACUAUUCACUUUACCCUUUAUUUUGUCCUUAUCAUUAAAACUCAAAGUUUUCAAGCCUUUUUUAUUAGUUUUCCUUUUUAUUUUUCUAUACUUUGUCAAGGUGCUUUUCUAGGAUAAUGUAUACUUGCAACAAGUGUACCACCAAUAGGAAUAGAAUCCUCUCCAGAUUCUCUUUAUUGGAAUCCGGAGGAUUAAUCAAUCAUAUAUCAUACAUCGUGCAAUUAGAAAUUAUUUUUAAUUUUUAAUUUAAAAUUAAAUAUAAAUAGUACCUAACAAAAACUGACCUCAUGAUAUACAAUGAACGAACACAAUUGAUUGAUCUCCGAAUCCCCACAAAAAAUAUCUAGCGAGGAUGCUUGUCCCCACCAAUAGCCCUGAUUAGUCCAUCAUUCUUGUCAUUAUUUAUUUGUUUAAACUAUUGUUAAUGGUAAAAACAGUAAUAUAUACAAGAGUAUGUUUACAAAUCAAGUAAGAACACCUCCACCCACUUAUGCAAUAAUUGCCACGUCAAUUGGACAAACACAAUUAUUACUUUGGUAAAUGGUAAUUUCUUAAGUGUAUCUCUAACUCAUAAACUAAACAGGGCUGGCAAUUAGAAUCAAAAAAAUAUUUAAAAUAAUAAAAAAAUUAUUAAAAUUAAAAGGAACAACAACUCGUCUGAUGAGCCAUCGGAGGGGGAGGUAUUCCGCGUCGUAUUUGAGUUUCCAGAGCUUGGUUCGUUUGAUGGGUCGUCUUCAGUUAGAAGGAACAACAACUCGACUAAUGGGUUGUCGUUGGGGGAGGAAUGGACAAGGAUUAUCUGCCCUCCCUUUUUCCAUAUCUUUCAAUGUCUUUCUGUUUGUGUGGUUACGGUUAAGCCACGUCAACAUUUUAUAUUACUAUUCAUUUUUGUCUUAUUAUCUUUAUAAAAAAAUAAUAUAAAAUGUUAACAUGGCUUAACCGUGACCACACAAAACAGGAGGACAUGGAAGAAAGACAAUCCUUGUCCGUGAGGAAUCUGGCAUCGAAAGAAUAUAUAAUGUUGGUCGAUGUCAACCUGACAUCAAAUGGACUCAGGCGCAGAGGCUGGCGGAAAUGACAUACAAUACUUGAAUUCUCGAUGUAGAUGCUACAUGGUUGGUUCUCAUCCUACACGUGGGUAUUGGGGCCACUCGAUUGCCUGACUGAUGGGCGUGGGUUGGAGAUGAUUUUGUUUGUUUUGGGGGAUUGAAUCAACCCAAUUGCUAAGGAAAUUAUUUUCUUUUUUGAACCCAUCGACAUUUUUAUAUUAAGGGGAGGGAGAAUUUGACUGAGCCACAUAAUGGGCAACCUAAUUUGGUAUCGAAUUCGUCAUUCACGAUAUUCGAAUUUAAAAC
RNAcentral lists this long non-coding RNA (4495 nucleotides) under Malus domestica (apple). RNAcentral's name for it is "long non-coding RNA (MDOM_LNC010172)". Lineage: Eukaryota; Viridiplantae; Streptophyta; Magnoliopsida; Rosales; Rosaceae. The record is from RNAcentral.